CGUUGCCACAGCAACAGAGCAGGAGCCAGGCCUGCCAGGCUCGGGCCCGGCGCUGCUGAACCUGGAGUCCGAGUCCAAGUCCAAGGAGGACCUGCGUGAGGAGCCCCGGGAGACAAGGCGGGAGGUCCAGCGCACGGGGCCCCGGCACCCGGCUCAGUCCCCGUCUCCGUCCAGUUACUGACUCGUGGGAGGACCUGAGAGAGACCGAGGCCCACAGCGUGACCCAGGCGCCCCCGGGAGGCGCCCGCCCGGUGUUCCCGAAGCCUGCGUGAGUGCCUGCAGGUCCGGGAGACGGCCCACCCGCCCCGUCCCCAGGGGUGUCCGUCGCCGUCCUUGCUGUCCGCUCCAACCUCCCCACCUGUUCCUGACAGAAGCGGCUCGGUGCAGGGGGUCGGGGAAGGAAUUCCUUUGCAGGAAGGAUGGGGUGACUGGUGGGGGCUGCCCUGUGGAGCCUGACCACGGGGGCUCGUAAUAACUGAGCCCUGAAGGAUGAAGAGGAAUUUCGCCCACUGGGCAGAAGGGAGAAGCACGUGGCGAGGACAGAGGGGGAAGUCUGCAGUGUGGUUAGGGUUCUGCAGGGGAACGUGGCCUGAGAAAGAU
Molecule: long non-coding RNA, 600 nt
Organism: Chinchilla lanigera (long-tailed chinchilla)
Lineage: Eukaryota; Metazoa; Chordata; Mammalia; Rodentia; Chinchillidae
Exons: 3
Source: RefSeq, a predicted model, not a curated record